Molecule: long non-coding RNA, 442 nt
Organism: Cherax quadricarinatus
Lineage: Eukaryota; Metazoa; Arthropoda; Malacostraca; Decapoda; Parastacidae
Source: RefSeq, a predicted model, not a curated record
GACGGAGGGAGGACAAUGCCGGAUCAGUAGCUCUGCUUGUCACUGAAGUGGGAAAGUCAACUGUAGUCACCAUGAAGUACUAUCUCCAACUUUUGAUGAUAGUGGUGGUGAUGAUGGUCUCGGUGGGCAUGGUAAUGGCCGACCCAGAACCUGAGGCAGAGCCUCAUUUCCCGGGUGGAUAUGGUGGAUAUGGUGGUGGAUUCCGCGGUGGCUUUCGCGGUGGCUUUGGAAAUUUCCAUCGUGGUGGCUAUGGCAAGUAGAGGGUAGAGACUGUAGCUCGGCUGGACGGACACCUGAACGACACCUGACCAUGAGUACGACCAUAAUAACAAACACCAUCCACUGACGACACUCUUGAUGGAGGGCGUUUAAUCAGCACUAAAACAUUCUGCGGCCCACAUUUAAUGUGUAAUAAAAACUAAUAAAUAAUGAGCAUACCAAA